AAUGUCAAGACCAUAUGCUGCAGCUGAGUAAGUAUCUUGCAGAGGGAGCCACAGCUGGUCUAUAUUUAAGAGAGAGACAGCCAGGCACAUUAUCAGCUAGUUAAUUUACUGAAAAUUCCAGGUGAUAUCCAUGACUUGCACCUCUUCCAAAGGACAGACUUUCCUGGUCUGGUGCCCUCCAGAGAUUUUGGAUGCGUCCCAAAGACACAUCCAGCAUGCUCACCAUCGUAAAAGAAAGGCUCUUGCUUUGGAAUGUACUUCCCGAUUAAUUGUGACUGUAGGGGCUUUCCUUAAUAGAUCGAUUAUUGACGAUUUUAGUGUCAGUCUUUCCAACCAGCCUGCCUUCCCACUUUACACACGUUGCUUCCUUGAAAUGGGUAAGUACUUUUCCUAGCUCACAGGUACGAAAGAAGAAUUAGCCACAAAAGGGAAAAGGAAAGGGGGUUCAGGAGACAGUGUUGCCUUGUUUUAUCUCUCACAAUAUAAGAAAGUUGUUUAGGCAAACUCAAAAUGAAACAGUUUGAAUUGGUUUCACUAAACAACAGUGGAAAGGCAAGGAAAAUGAAAGGUGAAUGAUAGAAAGUAGUGGACUAGCUUUUAAAAUGUAGCCAGGCUUUAGAUAGAAAAUUAUGAGGGGAAAUCUGCAUAAGAAAUGUCCCUGAUUUUUGCCUCUCCCAUCCCUUUCUCUCAUGGUCAUCUGCAUACGUAAAAUGCACUUUGCUUGAAUAUUUUGAACCAGUCUCCCAUCCAGCAGUAUCCACCCUCAUUGAGACCAUCAGAAGGUGCCAAAUAUUUUAUU
Molecule: long non-coding RNA, 799 nt
Filed under: Pogona vitticeps (central bearded dragon)
Lineage: Eukaryota; Metazoa; Chordata; Lepidosauria; Squamata; Agamidae
Description: lncRNA (ENSPVIG00000006396.1)
Source: RNAcentral